This 620-nucleotide ribosomal RNA is filed under the name uncultured bacterium. RNAcentral's name for it is "bacterial SSU rRNA". It matches the Rfam family "Bacterial small subunit ribosomal RNA", at positions 874 to 1503 of the family's 1533-position model. The record is from RNAcentral.
UGGGGAGUACGCCGGCAACGGUGAAACUCAAAGGAAUUGACGGGGGCCCGCACAAGCGGAGGAACAUGUGGUUUAAUUCGAUGAUACGCGAGGAACCUUACCCGGGCUUAAAUUGCAACCGAAUAUGGCGGAAACGCCAUAGCUAGCAAUAGCGGUUGUGAAGGUGCUGCAUGGUUGUCGUCAGCUCGUGCCGUGAGGUGUCGGCUUAAGUGCCAUAACGAGCGCAACCCUUGCCGAUAGUUACUAACAGGUUAUGCUGAGGACUCUGUCGGGACUGCCAUCGUAAGAUGUGAGGAAGGUGGGGAUGACGUCAAAUCAGCACGGCCCUUACGUCCGGGGCUACACACGUGUUACAAUGGGGGGUACAGAGGGCUGCUACCACGCAAGUGGAUGCCAAUCCCAAAAACCUCUCUCAGUUCGGAUUGAAGUCUGCAACCCGACUUCAUGAAGCUGGAUUCGCUAGUAAUCGCGCAUCAGCCACGGCGCGGUGAAUACGUUCCCGGGCCUUGUACACACCGCCCGUCAAGCCAUGGGAGCCGGGGGUACCUGAAGUGCGUAACCGCAAGGAGCGCCCUAGGGUAAAACUGGUGACUGGGGCUAAGUCGUAACAAGGUAACCGU